AUUGAACGCUGGCGGCAUGCUUUACACAUGCCAGUCGAACGGCAGCGCGGGCUUCGGCCUGGCGGCGAGUGGCGAACGGGUGAGUAAUGCAUCGGAACGUGCCCAGUAGUGGGGGAUAGCCCGGCGAAAGCCGGAUUAAUACCGCAUACGACCUGAGGGUGAAAGCGGGGGACCGAAAGGCCUCGCGCUAUUGGAGCGGCCGAUGUCGGAUUAGCUAGUUGGUGGGGUAAAGGCUUACCAAGGCGACGAUCCGUAGCUGGUCUGAGAGGACGACCAGCCACACUGGGAAUGAGACACGGCCCAGACUCCUACGGGAGGCAGCAGUGGGGAAUUUUGGACAAUGGGGGCAACCCUGAUCCAGCCAUGCCGCGUGCGGGAAGAAGGCCUUCGGGUUGUAAACCGCUUUUGUUCGGGAAGAAAUCCUCUGGGCUAAUACCCCGGGGGGAUGACGGUACCGGAAGAAUAAGCACCGGCUAACUACGUG
This 484-nucleotide ribosomal RNA is filed under the name uncultured bacterium. Its description in RNAcentral is "partial 16S ribosomal RNA". It matches the Rfam family "Bacterial small subunit ribosomal RNA", at positions 28 to 507 of the family's 1533-position model. The record is from RNAcentral.